CCCAAAUGAUGUUCCAUUCUACCUAAAUUCAUUGAAUAUGGAGGUUAGAAAACUGAUUUAAUGAGACUGAUGG
Molecule: non-coding RNA, 73 nt
Organism: Strongylocentrotus purpuratus (purple sea urchin)
Lineage: Eukaryota; Metazoa; Echinodermata; Echinoidea; Camarodonta; Strongylocentrotidae
Source: Rfam